This is a non-coding RNA of Sturnus vulgaris (Common starling), 1604 nucleotides long. NCBI's taxonomy places the organism in Eukaryota, Metazoa, Chordata, Aves, Passeriformes, Sturnidae. The record is from RefSeq and is a predicted model, not a curated record.
CUGCUGCCGCUGCUGCUGCUCGGAGGCCGGAGGCGCCCGCCGGGCGGUGUCAUGAUGAGGAGCUUCUCAGAAACAGAAGUGGAUGAUGAGUGGAGAUGAAGAAAUCAUACAUUUAAGAAGUUGGCUCAAGUUUCCGUUACAGGCAUGGAAAGUUUCUGAGACCAAGCCAUGUGAGAAGAACAUGAGUAAAGAAGAGGGAGAUGUAGACCCAGACUUUCUAGAAGGGAUUGCAGGAUUUGAGAGGACGCUCCACAAACGUCAUGUAGUUUUCUUGCUUAUUCAUUUACCUGCACCCCUGAACUGUAAUACUUUGUUUGCAUGUCUAUUUGGAAGCUGAGAAAUUCCCUCACAUCUGUGUCUUUAAUAUAAUCAUGGCUUCAAGCUUGUUUUAGGAAGAGCAGAACAUUACUGUAGUUUUUAUUUGUGGAUGAGAUAGUUGCUGCUUUGUACUUGAAAUCAAUUUGGGAUUUUUUUUUUGUUGAAACAUACAUUGAAUAUGGAAAAGCUCAGACCAUUACAAAAUAGGAAGUUAGAGGUUUUGCUUACAUUUAAUAAAUAGCCUUUGCAUAAGGAAGUAUGACAACUGGUGCAUAGGUAAAUGAAAAAAAAUAGGCUAGCCCUCUAAUUUGAGUAACUUUAUAAUAUAUUGUUCUUAUGGUGACCUUAGACAGAUGUCAGAAUCAAAUAUUAAUCAAUUUUAUGUUUUCUAUCUGCCUGUUGUUCAGCAAAAUGUUCUAGAUAAGAUUUCUUGCCAGAGUUGUGGGGUUAAAAGGGCAGAUUACUUAGUAUUGAGUUAGAAGAGAACUUUUUGGAGAGAUACUUCAUGGAACAGUCAAGCUGUUCAAAAAACUAUCUUGAAAGAAAUACUAGCCACGCACUCCAACAAAUUAACAAUACUGUGAACAGACUUGAUUGUAGUAAGUCUCUGAUACAAAGUUAUUAAGACUUUGACGUAUAUGUAUUUAAAAUUUAAAAGUAAAUGUAUUUUCCUGUAUUGAAAAGUAUUACUGGUAGGGGUAGGCAAAGAACAUCUUUAUUUUUCUUAUGAACUCCUAUCUGGUGUCUUAUCCUUAAUAAAAGGCUAUGGUUAUUUUUGUAUACUGUCUAUUUGGCCUUUAAGAGUAUAUAAUUAGAUGGAAGAGUAAAAGCAGUUGUUAAAGGAUGGUUUUUUAAUGAAAAUAGUUUGAAAUCAUGUAAUUUUAGUUUCUUCCAAAUAGAUGUGAUUAGUGUGUUGGAAAUAGUUUUACAGUGGAUAUAAAGGGAACAGUUGAGAGACAGUGGCUGAGAAUGUUUUGUAGCUAACAGUUAUAUUUUUUCAGUCUCUUUACUUAGAUAUAUCCAUAUAAUUGAACUGCUACAUCACAAUGAGAUACAAAAGCUAUUUGCACUUUAUAAUAUUUACAUUUUUAAAUAGGUUUUAUUGUACUAAUUGAUAAGUGAAUUGCAAUGACUGUGAGAAAAUUCUAGCCUAUUUUAUUACUUUAAUAGAAAUUUGAAUAUGGGGUAGUAUUGUCUGUAUCGUAUAAGAAUGUUUUAAUGGAUUUUUAGCUGCUGAAACUGAAAUCAAUAAACUUUAGCUACUGUUGUUGACUGGAACAAGUAAA